Phalacrocorax carbo (great cormorant) is the source of this 5684-nucleotide non-coding RNA. Lineage: Eukaryota; Metazoa; Chordata; Aves; Suliformes; Phalacrocoracidae. The record is from RefSeq and is a predicted model, not a curated record.
CUUGAGUGUGGCGUCGCGCCGGAGGCCGCCAUGUCGGUGGUGGCCACAGCGUGACAGCGGCGGCCGGCCUCCCGCAGCCCGUCCCGCACAGCCCCGGCCCCCUUGGCCUCACCACACGUCGCGGCUGGCAAGACGCCCGUCCGCAGCCCGGUGACAGAAUAGAGAUCCCCGGCGAGCGAUCCGUGCCCGCUGAGCUACGGGACAUAAAUUGGGUACGUUGAAGGAAGGAAUUGAGAAAACCCUGAAAGGUCCGCGAGGCGGUCUGGCACAACGGCAGCAGCUACACGCGUGAGGCAGCGUGCCCCUGAGGUGGCGUGGAUGACAACAGCUCGCUGGCCACAGCGAGCCUCUGAGGUCCCUUCGCACAUGUAGGGACACUAAAGUAAUUUAGAAAAAUGAUCCCUCAACCCACAGUUCUAUAUGAACAGAGAGGUAACAGCGAUAAUAUCUCCAGAGGCUUUAGCCCAGCUAGUUGCCUUUGCAGCAUUUUGUGGGUCUGUAUUCAGGGUAUCUUUUAAUCAUAGGAUGGUUUGGGUUGGAAGGGAGUUUAGUCCAACCCCCCCUGCAGUGAGCAGGGACAUCUCAACUAGAUCAGGUUGCUCAGAGCCCCGUCCAACCUGACCUUGAAUGUUUCCAGGGAUGGGUCAUCUACCACCUCUCUGGGCAACCUGUGCUGGAGUUUUACCACCCUCAUUGUAAAAAAUUUGUUACCUAUGUCCAGUCUAAAUCCAUCCUUCUUUAGUUUAAAACCAUUACCACUUGUCUCAUCACAACAGGCCUUGCUAAAAAGAUUGUCCCCAUCUUUCCUAUAGUCCCCUUUGAAGUAUUGAAAGGCUACCAUAAAGCGUCCCUACAGACUUCUCCAGACUGAACAACCCCAACCCUCCCAGCCUGUCCUUGGAGAGGUGCUCCAGCCCUUGGAUCAUUUUUGUGGCCCUCCUCUGGACCUUCUCCAACAGUUCCAUGUCCUUCUUAUGUUGUAUAAUCAGUGCAUUUGGAUUGAUCCCAGUAGAAAUCACAAUUUACUAAACAUCUUGAAGGCACAUUUCAUGCAAACCCCAAGGAACUGAGAAAAAAAAAGAGCAGGCUGUUUGCUUUUUGCAAAGACCAACAUGCAAAGAGUCAGUUACUGGUUUAAUGAUCACCCCACAAUAACCCACAAUGCUCUGUUGUAAAAUAUGAAGUAAGACAAUAAACUUCUAGUUUGACUUUACAGAAUGAGCAGAGUGAGCCUCAGAAAAGCUAUUCAGAAAACCCGCAUGUACAGGAUGCAUUGAGACCAUCUCUUUUGAAGGAUCACAGAGCAAAUGAGCAUUCACAUUUAGCCUCAUGUUGCUCUUAUUUACUCCAACUGCGAAAUGGCUUCAGGAAGUGUUCCUAUUUAGCUUUUCCUCUUGCAUAUUAGAAGCAAUUUUCAUGACUAUAAAAUAACUGCUCUGCCCAAGUCUUGUUUCUCUUCAUGCCUCGGCUAACUUCUCACAUCAUCACUGCUACCUACAAAGACUGCAGGAACUUCUAUCAGCUAAUGCCUCAUAAAAAUCUACUUGCAGUCUGGCAUGUUACAUUCCUGUAAGGUUCUUUCAGUACUGAGGAGAAAAAGAAGGUAGGAGAAGGCAGCAUACAGCAAGAAAAGAAUGACCCAGUGACAGGAAUGCAUGCAGGACAGACUAGUUUAAGCCAGGUUCCUGAAUCAGAGGAACUGGUUCCAUUGGUGCUAUUGCUGAACAUAGAACAGUUGGGAACAGCUGUGCAAAACAGGGACAGACCAUCUUCUUGUCAAUCAUUGUGGAUUUUAGAUGUGUCAACAGCAGCACCCAAAAAUUUAGACCCCCAAAAUAUGGAGAAAGUAGGUAAGUGAGGCCUCCCUGCUCUGAAAAGGCAGAGAAAGGAAACAGUAGUUCAUUCAAUAGAAGGAUUCAAGUCUAGCGAUACUUGUUCCAUCCCUCCCUCCCCAAAGGCAGGGGGGCACGCAUUCGGUGGCAAUAAGACUGCCAAAAGGCCACAAGAGAGACUAAAUCAAAUUAAGGAAUUUGGGCAGGGCAGUUUGGUUUAACUGUCAUUUAAACUUACAUAUAAACAGACUAUAUGAAUUGUUAAGUGGUUACAAGAUAGACAGCAGAAAGAAGACACACCUUUUUUUUUUUUCUUAAGAGAAGCCUAGUAACUUAUCACAUAGAUCAGUUAUACAUAGAUCUUUGAAAGUAGUUUCAUGGUUCUAUUUCUUUGUCUCCAAUGCUAUAUAUGAGCAAGUUUAGCCUUUUAGGCACUCAAGGAUAUCUAAACUAAAACCCAAAGCAAAACAAUUAGAAACUAGAGAUGCUGAGCCAUCAAUAAAAGUACUGUUCUGUUCUUGAUCAAAUUUGAAAUGAAAUAGCACACUGUAUUACAUGUAGUAUUUUACUGAGUUUACAAAGUUAAGAGGCUAUUUUUUCUUAAACUAAUAUUGGAGCAUUAGCUUUGCUUCCUUUUCUGCAGGGUUUUGAAGCCUCUCAUUUAUAGCUGGUGGAAGCUAUUUGGUCAUACAUACAAGUUUAUAUUUUAAGAAGGUCUCAUAACUUAAUUCUGUAACACAAGUAUUAUUAAAUCAAAAAGGAGAUACCUGAGGGAAUUAACACAUUCCUUUAUACUUUAAAGAAAAAGUCUACAACCCACAGACUCUCAAUAUUUACCAGUCUCCAAAAGAGAUGUUUAAAAACUUUAAUAUUCUGAGACAAUGAACACAUAGAGAGCAUUCCCAACCAAUGACAAAGUUAGGCGCUAACUACAUAUGAAGUGGCUAGCAAAACCUCAUCAACAUUUCAAAACUUAAAGCUUCUAAGGGAACAACUUAUUAAAUACCCAUCUAGCUCCAAACAGAAACUUCAAGCUGAGAAAAAUUACUGUAACACCUCAUUAACAAUUUAUGCAUCACUUUCCUUGUCCCUGCUCCUACCCCAUCAAUAUAGUUCUUAGGAGAAAGGGGGGAGGAAAAAAAAAAAAAUCUUAUAGCAUACCCUAACCACAAACACACCACCAUUUUCUUCCAAGACUAGUCUUUCUCUCCAUAUUUAUAAGAAAUUGGUACCUCAUGUGUCUCACCUGCAUCACUGAGUCAGCGGCUAGUAUUUUGCUCCUCUCUCCACAGCUGAUACUGGUAAAAGUGAAUCAAAGGGAUUCUGGCAUACAGGGUUCUAUCUACAUGUCAGUAGUGUCUUCACCAAGGUAUAAAUAUCUAUCCUCACAUUUUUGUGCCUUCUAUACAUAGAAAUUUUCUUUUUUAACAAUGUUAAACUUUGAAAGAAUUACUUCUAUUUUCUGAUAUGCACAUGUACCUCUUCACCCUGAAAAAGCUCAAGAACGUUUUAUAAAAACUUUGGGAUUACCAUAGCACUGAUAUGGUAAAAAUAUUUCCUUCUGUUGCUAAUACUUGCUGUUGUCUGCCAGUUUUAUUGGAAUGCUACCAUACUGUCUGUAUUCAUACCUGGAUGUUACAAGUCAUAUCUGCACUGGCCAUGUGUUUGGCCAUAACACAUAGUUUAAAUAUAGAGGAUUCUGGGACUACAUGUCUUUUCCCUUUAAGGAAGGUGGUCUCAGCUUGGACAAUUACAUACCUGUUUGCAAUAGUACAAAGUUACCGGAUCCAUAGUGCUCUUGGCAGUCAUGAAGGUUUACGAAGUCAUGAAAUCACUUCUCACUAAUUCUUUAAUUAGAGAAGAGUUUAUGGAAAAGAAUGAUGCAUGCAUUUGUAAAACAGAUUUGCUGCUGUGAGCUUGAAGUAAGUUUAUUCACAGGAGAAAAUGCUUUUCUAGUGGCACUUGGACCCUUCUGAAUUAUAUUUAUUUACAGUUUCAUAAAUGGGAAGUCCAUCUGCUGCCAAGGUGUUUUGGUUUCACAGAGUGGAACUGUCUUAUCUUCCCAGACUACAAGCUACUCAGGGCUGCCUUCAGUUGACCUGGCUGAUGGAGGCUGUUGUGAUUUCCUCCAGCGAGAACAAGAGUUCAGCUGCCCAGUGACCCCAUUCAGAACAGCCAUGUUUGCUUUGGUUGCUUGAAAACAUGGAGGCAUUGCUUAGAAAUUCAUAUAAACUACUGGCUAUUUAAUUUCAUACAAGUGACAAGGGAUAUCAGUUUCUGUCAGUUUGUGGGAGAUUACAGGCAGCCCUUUGUGGAAGAGUGUGCUGGUGGCAUUGAGAGGUGCAGUCUGCUGACAAUCACCACAUGCACCUCUCCUUUAAGAGGGUGCCGAAUCUGCUAAAACAACAGGCCUAAGAGUCUGUGCUGGAUGUCAGAAUGCAAAAAUAAAACAGCUUCCAUAAUUGCAAUGAAUUCUUAGUAAGGUAUAUAACAAAAAAAUCAAAUAGUGUAGCAUCUCAGUGUCUGCACUCUUGCCUCAGGCAGGCAUGGGGUGAAAGGCAAUAGGCACAGGGGUGAUGUUCUGUGAUUUCAUAGAUUUACAAAAGGAUUCAAGGAAACUGUGUCUUCCUUUGAGCUUCUGAUUUUUUUUUCCUGCUCAGACACCCUCUAUAAGACUUGGACUCAGAAGGGAACUAUAGAUAAAUGUAUAUUUGGAGUUGGGAGGUGGAAAGAAAUUUGCAGCCUUCUGCUUCAGGGUAGGUAGGGUUAGGACUGGGGUAGGGAACUGAGGGCCUUCAGAGCUGGAAUUAAACUGGGGUCCUGCUCAUUGUGGGAGAGAGGUAAGGGCUGGGGCCGGGAUGAGCUACAAUGCAACGCUUGUUGGGAACCGGGAGGGAACUCCCUUGUUUUGUCAUUCCCCUGUUUGGAAGGGUGUGAGUCCUUCUCUGUCAAAAUCCUCAAGCCCUCCUGUAAAGUCUCACUGAAGUGCAGUCUAUGGAAGUAACAGCAGAUUCAGUCCUUGCAAUGAUGGGCUUGUCCACUGCCAGGGUGGAAACCAGCCACGAGAGUGGAUACAGCAGCAGGAACAAAUGUGUCCUUCUUUUGUUAUGCUCUGUGUCAUGUGAAAUCAUCUUCCUUUCAGCACACUCAGAAAGGGUAGAGGUAUGCUGGUGGGAGGCCAGCAGCUGCAGAUGUGCUAUGCUUCUCCCAGGAGAUGGCACCUCAGUGGCAUGGAUGGAAAACAGCCAUCCCCCUGCCCCUCUACCUUCAGUUGCUGCUUCUGGGAGGUCUGAAAGAACAUGGUCAUAGCUUGGCCAAAUUAGCAUAAGAUACAUAUUUUUCUCCAUGUGGCUUGUUAAACCCAGGAGAGGACCCUUUCUCUUGUGUCAGAAUGCAGGCUAAUGGAGAGGAAGAGAUGAACAAAAUUCAAGAGAUUUUAUGGGAUGUUAAACUCUAGUCAAUAUGUGUUGAUCUCUGGUAGAUUCCUGUUGUCAUGUUAAAACACUGUCCAUUGGUUCUGCUUGACAUUCACCCAUCUUCCCAUAGUACUGUCACUGCCACCAUCUGAAAAUGCUUGAACAUGCCAAAUUUCUUAAUCUGUGAUUUGUUACAUCCGUUCUUCACUAAUGUAGAAGGAAGGUCUGCUUUCCAAAGCAACCAUGAGUGUAGCUUACAUAUGAAAAUGUGUCAUUCUGAUAACUUGCUUCAGUCUUAUGAAAAAAUUAUUUUAAACAUACCCAUGAGAACAGUUCAUAGCAAGGUAAACUUCCCACAAUCAGAAAAUAUUAAUGAUGGAGGGACUAAAUAAAGAAAUAUAUGUGAUAGAAACCUGCUUACUGUCUGGAGGCUCUC